Long non-coding RNA from Gallus gallus (chicken), 421 nucleotides. RefSeq lists it as uncharacterized. NCBI's taxonomy places the organism in Eukaryota, Metazoa, Chordata, Aves, Galliformes, Phasianidae. The record is from RefSeq and is a predicted model, not a curated record. The transcript is spliced from 2 exons.
AGAGACGUUCUGAGGUGUGUCUGCUCUCACCCCACUGCCGCCUCGCUCCCAAGCCCCACAUCUCCAUGGAGGAGACCCCACGGGAAGCUGCCUCGGCGAUGCCCUGAGAAGCAGCGCCCAGCCGAGGCGUUUCACCCAACGCAAGUAGAGGGCUUGGCUAGGGAUGCUCACUUCCAGCUGGGAGCCCGAAUGGCUCUGCUCAGCUCCCACUCAGCUCGGGAGGGCCCGGCACACGCGUUUGAGCCCCAUGUUGGUUGAGUUGUACUGUCUGUUGCACUCGUCGACUGCGCUCAUGGCAAAGAUCUGCCUCCUGUUCCUUGCCAAGAGGAGUUUCCCUUCCCAGCGGUCCAACCUCGACCUGCUGGCCCUGAGAGGCAGGUUGUUGUUGGAGUUGUAAAUAAAGCCAGGAUCAUUUCUCUUA